Apodemus sylvaticus (European woodmouse) is the source of this 1989-nucleotide long non-coding RNA. RefSeq lists it as uncharacterized. NCBI's taxonomy places the organism in Eukaryota, Metazoa, Chordata, Mammalia, Rodentia, Muridae. The transcript is spliced from 3 exons. The record is from RefSeq and is a predicted model, not a curated record.
GUAGCGCGUCAGCGUGGGCUUCCCGGAGCGAGUCGCUAGGUAACAGGGCUGGCUCCGCAGACCCGGGCCGGGGAAGCCCGCGCGCGUCGUCAGCAUCUGCGCCGCGGGGCGUGGGGGACGCACUGAUCCUCCCCUAUCGGGGCCUGCAGACCCCUCGGCUGGCUCGCAGACCCCAUCCCUGGAUGCCUUAAGGGUGGCUAUAGCCACCGCGGAGUUGCCCCUCCCCUGCGGGGACCCCGACGUCACCGCCCCCUUUUCCUCCCCCGCUGGUCCGCACCACUCUCGGUUCGGCCAGGUAGGCGACCCUCCCCUGCGGUUGCGGUGGCCGCCGCCGCCCUCCGAGAUCUUCCCGCCGAGCCCAGGCGCGGGGCAUGAGGAGCCCCUGGGUGUCGCCUGCAGACAACCCAGCCUCGCGCACACCUCGCCAGUCGCUGACAGGGACAUGAGCAGUAUGAUUGGGUUCCGGUGUCCGGCGGCCAGCCUCAGCCGGAGGCGGCCAGUGGGUCUGCGUUGCUUGGGAGAAUGAGGCAGGAACCUGCGGCUACCUCUCUCUCCUCCUUCUCUUCACCUUCCUCUGGCUCCCGCGCCCCGGACCCGGGCCGGGCUGUGGCUCUGCUGCGUGCCCUGCGCGCCCCCCACCUGCCUCCGGAUGCUCUUCUCGGUUAGCCUGGUGAGGAAGAUAAAGACAUUUGCAACCAAGAUGGUAAUCACGAAUGGUAAUGAUGAAGACCGGGGAGGCCAAGAGAAAGAGAGCAAAGAGGAGAGUGUGCUCGCCAUGCUGGGCAUCAUCGGAACCAUCCUGAACCUGAUCGUCAUCAUCUUUGUAUAUAUAUAUACCACUCUGUGAAAGGCCCCGAGCAGCCUCAGUGGCCUCGGGAUGGCCACGAGACAAGGGUCCUGUGUGUCCAUAUUUCGGUGACCACAUGCUGCAGGGAGCCGGCAGGCUCGAAGAUCACACACUGCUCCAUUCAUGUACCUUCGAACUUUCUAGCGGGUCACCAGAUGGACCCGUCCUGCCGUGAGGAGCAGACACUCAGUGAAGCACAAUGAAUCCAGUGGAACUCAUUCAGGCCGCUGGGAACUCAGCGUCUCCAGCAGGGGACCAGGCAGGAUGCCGGAAAGGCCAGUCUUCUGCACCAGCGGUGAGCACGCGGGCGAGGAGAUGUUUUGCCCUGGAGUGCUGACCACAUCCCACACUGGAAAGAGGAUGCGUGGGGUGGACGCAGCCUGGCUGCCCUCCUCCCUGGCAGCUCGACCGGCAGGACGAGCGCUAGGUGCGGUCCGCUGACAGGCAUUCCAUUCGUCAGAUGUUUCCAGCUGUUUGAUAUGGGAGAUAACUUAUUUUUUUCCUUUUUCAUUGGCUUGAUGUGUGUAUCUGUUCAUAUCGAGGUUUAUAAAUCUAUAUUUUUAAUAAAUGUGCUCUAUUUUUUAGCAUGAACCAAAUAUUUGGAGAGGCGCUUCUGGAUCCAUAGCUCUUUUUGGUUUUAAUCGCUUUUGUUCCAUCAGCUGCGAGGCAUCUUUAUCGUAGUCAUCGGGUUGUCUCAGCUCGUCUCAAGACUUGCUCUCGGGCGCUUCCUCCUCCCCAUCCCUGUCCCUCUGUUCUCUCCUCCAUCUCUAAUUCUCCUAUCCUUCCCUCCCCCUGCCCCCACCCCAUCUACUCUCUCCUCUCCUCAUGUCUUAUCUGGAGGACAUUUUCCCAUAGCACCAACCAGGGUCUUGGCUGGUGUGUGCUUCAAGAUUGUUGAGCGGCUUUUCGUUGUCCUGUCAGAGAUAUGAAACGAUUGUGGGCAUGCAGACCUUAGACUCACCCUGUCUUUCCUGAGAAUCAUGCAUGAACAAGGGCCGAGUGUCAGAUCAGCUUCCCGAGGUUUCAAAGGACUACCAUGGAGGAAGCCGAGCAGCCCUGACUGCAGGUCACCCUUGGGACGGACGGAGCAGUCACCAGCUCAAGUGCAGUAGGAUUCAUUUGCUCUUGUAACCACCAUUCGA